Long non-coding RNA from Microplitis mediator, 1640 nucleotides. RefSeq lists it as uncharacterized. The record is from RefSeq and is a predicted model, not a curated record. The transcript is spliced from 6 exons. NCBI's taxonomy places the organism in Eukaryota, Metazoa, Arthropoda, Insecta, Hymenoptera, Braconidae.
CUACGGAUAAUUUCAAAAUAAAAGUAUUUUAGUAGAGUGAUAUUGUGGGAAAGCAGUGCGCUGUUCUCGCUGCACAGCAAGACGUAGAGGAGGGGACGGUGCGUCACUGCCUGCAGUAAAUCCAGUAGUUAGGUGAAACACUAGGAUCCGUACGGUAGCUUUUUAUUUUCGCUCUCGUCAGUUUAACAUGCUAUUCAAUCGUACUUCGUAUUAAAUUGGUUAGAAUAAAUUUCAAGAGCUUAUAAGUACUUCGGAUCUGUGGCGCUGAAUGUGAUUUUGUGGACUAAGAUAUUUCAGUUUCGAUCUGUUUAUUGAAUAAUAUAUGGGUGACAGUUCCAUUUAUUCAAUAUUGUAUUUGAACAUAAAACGGAGAGAGUAGGCUAUACGCCACAUGACAAACCCGAAUAUUGGUCAACGUAAAUAAUCUCCACUAAUUUUCUAUUUAGAUAAAAAAGAAGCUCUGAUAUCAAGAAAAUAAUUCAUUAAACGAUUCUAACAAAGCUUAAAGUUUACUUCUGUGAAUUAUAAUAAACAAAAAAAGAAAAAAAAGCUGAUUGAAAAUAUUUUCCUGGACGUCAAUUGGUCUGUUUAUUGGAAAGUACUUAUUAUAUCAUUCGUUAUUAUGGCUGCUGGUCUUUCGCGCAGGUGAUGGAUGGGGUCUUGGAGGGCCAGAGGCCCUAGGUCAUCGUCGUUGCAGGGCACAUAAGUUUGAGGGUCUGAGUGAAGUGUCACGACUAUAUAAUCAUAUCUACAUAUAUAUAUAUAUAUAUAUAUAUAUACAAUAAAUACUUACUAUUACUUGUGAUUAUUUAUUUUAAGUUUAAUUUUAUAUACGUGGUAUUGAGUGUUAGUGCGAGUGUGUUCCUGCUAUCUCAACAUCGCCGUCAUCUCCCAGGUCAUGUUUCAGCAAGGGAAGGAAAUGCAGCAAGGCGUUCCAACAUGGCAGUAAAAUCGGGAGGGACCACUUAGGAUACCUUCCCUUCUAUUAACUCAAAAAUACUGCCAAUCCGGAGCCAGGUGUGCUGUCGAAACAAUUCAAAUUUUCCGGUUAUAAUAAAUUACUAUUAAGUGAGAUCUGAUGUGGUUCUACCAGCCAUUUGAGUGGUGAUUAUCAAAUAGAUAAAUCACUGAUCAAGAAUAUAUUUAAGGGCAUAGAUGAUAUUUUUGUGAUGAAAACUUCUAGUCUUUGACAGGAGACGAUGGCAACACAACGAGAAGACAUAGUACAAUGGAUAAUGGCACUAAACAAAUAAUACAAUAUUAGUCUAUAAAUUAUCAUCAGCUGGUUAAAAUCCAAAUUAAGUCAAUGGUUUUUUGAAUUACACAGAUCAAUAUAAGUUAUAAAAAACACUAAUAGUGAUGAAAAAGAUCAAUAACAACAAAUCAUCUAUUAAACAAUAAAGUAAAACGAUGCACGAUGGGGAAAAGAUUGCACUCUUUGCAAAAUGAAAAGCUCGAAAUAUUUGACUGUGAUCUUUAAUAAAAUACGAAAUCAAUUUAAAUUUAAUAUGAAAUAUGUAUAUUUAGAAAGUUAUGAAUAUGUUUCAUGAAAAUUAAUGUACUCCAUUAAGUAAAUCAUUUUAAGAUAAAAAAUUGAGAAUUGUAAAGAUAUUAUAGCAAUGAAAAAAAAAUCUUGUUUU